UACGUAGGGUCCAAGCGUUAUCCGGAAUUACUGGGCGUAAAGAGUUGCGUAGGUGGCAAAGUAAGCGAUGUAUUAAAGCUCACGGCUCAACCGUGAAUCUAUGCAUCGAACUACUUAGCUAGAGUAUGGGAGAGGUAGCUGGAAUUUCUAGUGUAGGAGUGAAAUCCGUAGAUAUUAGAAGGAACACCGAUGGCGUAGGCAGGCUACUGGCCCAUUACUGACACUAAGGCACGAAAGCGUGGGGAGCGAACGGG
This 254-nucleotide ribosomal RNA is filed under the name uncultured bacterium. RNAcentral describes it as "partial 16S ribosomal RNA". It matches the Rfam family "Bacterial small subunit ribosomal RNA", at positions 524 to 776 of the family's 1533-position model. The record is from RNAcentral.